ACGAGUCCCAGAUAGGACGAAACGCGCGUC
This 30-nucleotide non-coding RNA is filed under the name Schistosoma mattheei. The record is from RNAcentral. Lineage: Eukaryota; Metazoa; Platyhelminthes; Trematoda; Strigeidida; Schistosomatidae.